CCUGGUUUUGAGAGGUUGGCCAGCGUUACAAAGUGUUCCUUCAGAAAGGCUUCCUGGUCUGGAGUCUGGGGAACCAGUUGAGAGGUCAUGACAUCUGGUCCUCCUCCUGCUGCGCCUCCUCCGUCCUCGUCCUCCUCCAGCUCAGAGGAGUUUCCAUCCACACUGAGAGGCUCUGAGUCUACGAGGACGGAGACAGGUUAGGGGUGAGAGACAGACAAGAGAGGUCUGUCUGCCUCGCUUCAUCUGUCUGUCUCACCGUUUCCUGCAGGUUUGUCUCUCUGUAUCUGUCCAUGUCCUGCAGGUUUGUCUCUCUGUAUCUGUCUAUGUCCUGCAGGUUUGUCUCUCUGUAUCUGUCUAUGUCCUGCAGGUUUGUCUCUCUGUAUCUGUCUUUGUCUCUCUGUAUCUGUCCAUGUCCUGCAGGUUUGUCUCUCUGUAUCUGUCUAUGUCCUGCAGGUGUGUCUCUCCGUAUCUGUCUAUGUCCUGCAGUUUUGUCUCUCUGUAUCUGUCUUUGUCUCUCUGUAUCUGUCCAUGUCCUGCAGGUUUGUCUCUCUGUAUCUGUCUAUGUCCUGCAGCUGUGUCUCUCCUUAUCUGUCUGUCUCCCGGUGUCGGUCUCACCAUCUCCUGCAGGUCUCACUGGACUGGACAGCCUGGAGCUGAAUCCCAGUGAGCAGCCGCUGUCUGGACUGGGUUUGUCCUGAUGUUUGUCUGCAGCAGUAGGACACGCCUCCUUCACCUGGAACUCACUGACAGGAAGGGGCAGCGUUUAGAGGGGCGGCGUUCCAACAUCCUACAAGCAGAAUUUAUUCACCUGGGACAAACUACUUCCUAAAAUGGGACAUUGAACUCUGACCCUGUUUAUCAUAUUCAAUUAAUUGUCCUUAAAUCCUUUUGUAAGGAGACGGUGUAAAUAUAAACGACCUGAUGACCUGCUUGUGUUUCAAUCUCUUCUCUCCUCUUUUUCUGCUUCUGUCUCUGCUGCCAAAAGCUCUUUCUACCGAUCCAGAAUCCAAUCUUCAUUUUCUAACCCAAAAAAACUAUUUUCGAUAUUCUCCAACCUCCUCCAACCCCCUAGUCCUCCUCCCCCCUUCUUCUGGGUGACUGUCACUACUUUACCAAGAAAAUAGCUGACAUACGCUCCUCUUUCUCAAACCCACCUCCUAUUUCUUGCUUCCCACUGGCUUCACCUCUAUCGCCCUCACUUUCCUCUUUCACCCCCCUGUCUCCUAACCAAGUUCUUACCCUAGUAACCUCUGACCCUCCGACCACCUGCCCUCUUGACCCCAUUCCAUCACAUCUUCAACGGACGCACCUAUCGGGUAACCUGGAGAGGAUCUGUGUUGAACCUUGUCCUCUUACUACUGGAGUUCCUCAGGGUUCCGUCCUGGGUCCCCUCCUCUUCUCUCUCUACACCAACUCUCUCAUUCGCUCACUUGGCUUCUCCUACCACAGCGAUGCUGAUGACACCCAACUAAUUCUCUCCUUCCCUCACUCGGAUCUCUGCCUGUCUGACUGACAUCUCUCAGUGGAUCCGCCCACCAUCUGAAAAUCAACCCCGACAAGAUGGAACUACUUCUCUUUCCAGGAAAAGAUUCUCCUUCACAGGACCUGACUGUUAACUUUGGCGACUCCGUGUUAACGUCCACUUUGACUGCAGGAACCUCGGCGUGACGUCGACAGCCGACUCUCCCUGACUCCAACAUCACUGACAACACCCUGUAGAUACUCGCUCUACAACAUGAGGAGAACACGUCCUCUUCUCACUCAGAAGGUACUGAUUCAGGCUCUUGUCGUCUCCCUCCUGGACCACUGUAACUCUCUCCUGCAGGUCUCCUGCUACCUCCAUUCCACCUCUGCAGCUCAUCCAGAAUGCAGCAGCUCCACUGGUCUUUAACCUUCCUAAGUUC
Molecule: long non-coding RNA, 1904 nt
Organism: Gasterosteus aculeatus aculeatus (three-spined stickleback)
Lineage: Eukaryota; Metazoa; Chordata; Actinopteri; Perciformes; Gasterosteidae
Source: Ensembl